AAGGCUUUAGCUUAAUUCAAGUGUCUGUUUUGCAUACAGAAGAUGUGGGUUAGUAUCCUGCAAGUCUUA
This 69-nucleotide transfer RNA is filed under the name Betta coccina. Its description in RNAcentral is "tRNA-Ala". It matches the Rfam family "tRNA". From Rfam's summary of the family: Transfer RNA (tRNA) molecules are approximately 80 nucleotides in length. Their secondary structure includes four short double-helical elements and three loops (D, anti-codon, and T loops). The record is from RNAcentral. Lineage: Eukaryota; Metazoa; Chordata; Actinopteri; Anabantiformes; Osphronemidae.